UACGUAGGGUGCAAGCGUUGUCCGGAAUUAUUGGGCGUAAAGAGCUCGUAGGCGGUUUGUCGCGUCGAAUGUGAAAACCCGCAGCUUAACUGCGGGCUUGCGGUUGAUACGGGCGGGCUAGAGUUCGGUAGGGGAGACUGGAAUUCCUGGUGUAGCGGUGAAAUGCGCAGAUAUCAGGAGGAACACCGGUGGCGAAGGCGGGUCUCUGGGCCGAUACUGACGCUGAGGAGCGAAAGCGUGGGGAGCGAACAGG
Molecule: ribosomal RNA, 253 nt
Filed under: uncultured bacterium
Lineage: Bacteria
Description: partial 16S ribosomal RNA
Rfam family: Bacterial small subunit ribosomal RNA
Source: RNAcentral